GCAAGUCGAGGGGCAGCGGGGGAGUAGCAAUACUCCUGCCGGCGACCGGCGCACGGGUGAGUAACACGUAUGGAACCUGCCCGUCACAGGGGGAUAAGCGGAAGAAAUUCCGUCUAAUACCGCGUAACAACCGACGGGGGCAUCCCUGUUGGUUCAAAGGAGCGAUCCGGCUGCGGAUGGUCAUGCGGCGCAUUAGCUAGUUGGCGGGGCAACGGCCCACCAAGGCGACGAUGCGUAGGGGUUCUGAGAGGAAGGUC
This 257-nucleotide ribosomal RNA is filed under the name uncultured bacterium. RNAcentral's name for it is "partial 16S ribosomal RNA". It matches the Rfam family "Bacterial small subunit ribosomal RNA", at positions 57 to 305 of the family's 1533-position model. The record is from RNAcentral.